GAUGAACGCUGACAGAAUGCUUAACACAUGCAAGUCAACUGGAAUUUGGGUUUUUAACUUAGGUUUGGGUGGCGGACGGGUGAGUAACGCGUAAAGAACUUGCCUCACAGCUAGGGACAACAUUUGGAAACGAAUGCUAAUACCUAAUAUUAUGAUAAUAGGGCAUCCUAUAAUUAUGAAAGCUAUAAGCGCUGUGAGAGAGCUUUGCGUCCCAUUAGCUAGUUGGAGAGGUAACGGCUCACCAAGGCGAGGAUGGGUAGCCGGUCUGAGAGGGUGAUCGGCCACAAGGGGACUGAGACACGGCCCUUACUCCUGCGGGAGGCAGCAGUGGAGAAUAUUGGACAAUGGACCGAGAGUCUGAUCCAGCAAUUCUGUGUGCACGAUGAAGUUUUUCGGAAUGUAAAGUGCUUUCAGUUGGGAAGAAACAAAUGACGGUACCAACAGAAGAAGUGACGGCUAAAUACGUG
This 467-nucleotide ribosomal RNA is filed under the name uncultured bacterium. RNAcentral describes it as "partial 16S ribosomal RNA". It matches the Rfam family "Bacterial small subunit ribosomal RNA", at positions 28 to 507 of the family's 1533-position model. The record is from RNAcentral.